AUUGAACGCUGGCGGCAUGCCUUACACAUGCAAGUCGAACGGUAACGCGGGGCAAUCCUGGUGGCGAGUGGCGAACGGGUGAGUAAUAUAUCGGAACAUGCCCAGUCGUGGGGGAUAACGCAGCGAAAGCUGUGCUAAUACCGCAUACGAUCUACGGAUGAAAGCGGGGGAUCGCAAGACCUCGCGCGAUUGGAGCGGCAGAUAUCAGAUUAGCUAGUUGGUGGGGUAAAGGCCCACCAAGGCGACGAUCCGUAGCUGGUCUGAGAGGACGACCAGCCACACUGGAACUGAGACACGGUCCAGACUCCUACGGGAGGCAGCAGUGGGGAAUUUUGGACAAUGGGCGCAAGCCUGAUCCAGCAAUGCCGCGUGCAGGAUGAAGGCCUUCGGGUUGUUAACUGCUUCUGUACGGAACGAAACGGCCCUUUCUAAUACAGGGGGCCAAUGACGGUACCGUAAGAAUAAGCACCGGCUAACUACGUGCCAGCAGCCGCAGUAA
RNAcentral lists this ribosomal RNA (499 nucleotides) under uncultured bacterium. Its description in RNAcentral is "partial 16S ribosomal RNA". It matches the Rfam family "Bacterial small subunit ribosomal RNA", at positions 30 to 523 of the family's 1533-position model. The record is from RNAcentral.